UCUAGAUCCAACUGCAAUUGUGUUAGCUAGAGAAAAAAGCACUUUGACAGAAGUAGCUUUGUUCUUGGAUAACUUAAGGAGGGAAACCAAUAAUGAAGGGGUUAAAACGACUUGUGGAUUUAGGCAGAGAAAGAAGUGCAGAUUUUACAGCCCUCGUCCCCCUCCUUCUUCUUCUUCUAGGACAGAGUGUAGAGUGAUACAGACAGCUGAGCCCCUCCCAAUUUAUUCAACUAAAAACUGUAGAGUUGAUAAUAAAAGGCAGAAUAUAACUCCUAAAGUUAUUUGUUUUUGGUGCAAUAAACAACAUUAUUUAAGAUCUUGCAGAUAUUUUAUCCGAGAUAUCAAAUCAAAAGCAAAUG
This is a non-coding RNA of Pelobates cultripes (western spadefoot toad), 359 nucleotides long. NCBI's taxonomy places the organism in Eukaryota, Metazoa, Chordata, Amphibia, Anura, Pelobatidae. The record is from the annotation of a GenBank genome assembly.